UUCUCUGAUGCAAUUCCGAGUGGAAGAACUUCUGACUUCCCCCAAAGAGCUUAAUAGCUCUGAGUGAAGCUCCUGAGUUUCCAUUAGCCCCUUUUCUAAUUGAAGGAAGAAAGCUAUUGAGCCAAUCAUUCAAUAAAGAAAAUAAGUAAAGAAAAAGAAAGGUGAACAAGAAGGGAAUAAGCUCUCAAGCCUCGGAGGAGAGCAAUCUCUUGUGGAAAAAAGGUGGGGGUCCCAAGUCCUGCAUCCACCAAGAACAUUUCUUCCCUUAAGCGUAAAACUUCAGAUUGUAAGGCGUUUCCACUACAUAAGAAAAAACUGGAAUUAGAUCUUGGAAAUGAUCGG
This 342-nucleotide long non-coding RNA is filed under the name Nicotiana benthamiana. RNAcentral describes it as "long non-coding RNA (NBEN_LNC031798)". The record is from RNAcentral. Lineage: Eukaryota; Viridiplantae; Streptophyta; Magnoliopsida; Solanales; Solanaceae.